CCUACGGGUGGGCAGCAGUGAGGAAUAUUGGUCAAUGGGCGCGAGCCUGAACCAGCCAAGUCGCGUGAGGGAUGAAGGUUCUAUGGAUCGUAAACCUCUUUUAUAAGGUAAUAAAGUGUGGGACGUGUCCUAUUUUGUAUGUACCUUAUGAAUACGGAUGGGCUAACUCCGUGCCAGCAGCCGCGGUAAUACGGAGGAUCCGAGCGUUAUCCGGAUUUAUUGGGUUUAAGGGGUGCGUACGCGGCCUUUUAAGUCAGCGGUGAAAGUCGGUGGCUCAACCAUAGAAUUGCCGUUGAAACUGGGGGGCUUGAGUAUGUGUGAGGCAUGCGGAAUGCGUGGUGUAGCGGUGAAAUGCUUAGAUAUCACGCAGAACCCCGAUUGCGAAGGCAGCCUGCCAAUCCAUGACUGACGCUGAUGCACGAAAGCGUGGGGAUCAAACAGGAUUAGAUACCCUGGUAGUC
This 461-nucleotide ribosomal RNA is filed under the name uncultured bacterium. Its description in RNAcentral is "partial 16S ribosomal RNA". It matches the Rfam family "Bacterial small subunit ribosomal RNA", at positions 338 to 795 of the family's 1533-position model. The record is from RNAcentral.